RNAcentral lists this long non-coding RNA (372 nucleotides) under Androctonus crassicauda. Lineage: Eukaryota; Metazoa; Arthropoda; Arachnida; Scorpiones; Buthidae. The record is from RNAcentral.
CAGCAGCCUGACUGCCUUCUUGUCGCUUACACCGUUGCUCCAGAUUCACCAGAUCUCGGAAUGGACCCCAACUGCUCCUGCUCCACCGGCGGCUCCUGCACCUGCUCCAGCUCCUGCGGCUGCAAGAACUGCAAAUGCACCUCCUGCAAGAAGAGCUGCUGCUCCUGCUGCCCCGUGGGCUGCUCCAAAUGUGCCCAGGGCUGUGUCUGCAAAGGUGCCUCGGACAAGUGCACGUGCUGUGCCUGAAGUGACGAACAGUGCUGCUGCCCUCAGGUGUAAAUAAUUUCCGGACCAACUCAGAGUCUUGCCGUACACCUCCACCCAGUUUACUAAACCCCGUUUUCUACCGAGCAUGUGAAUAAUAAAAGCCUG